AUAGCAGCAGCAUGCGGGCAGCUUGAUUGUCUCCUGAAGAAGGGUGGAACACCGACUCAUGGACUUAGCAAUGGUACAGCAUCUGGCGAAAAAUUGCAUCGAAAUGGAAAUGGAACGACUCUUGCCAAUGGAUCUUUAGAUGGGAUUUAUCGCAAUGGGAAUGGUGUACAUGUCUAAGGAAACAGUAAAAACACUAUUGGGGUCAAUGGCCUUGUGAUCGAUCAAAUUUUGCUAGUGCCUUUCUUCCAGUCGAUAUGUAUAGGUUUUACAGCUUCUCUCGUUAAGGCUAUCUAGUUAUAGAGCUAAAUUCCGGUCUUUGUUACGG
This 325-nucleotide unclassified non-coding RNA is filed under the name Hevea brasiliensis (rubber tree). Lineage: Eukaryota; Viridiplantae; Streptophyta; Magnoliopsida; Malpighiales; Euphorbiaceae. The record is from RNAcentral.